RNAcentral lists this ribosomal RNA (466 nucleotides) under uncultured bacterium. Its description in RNAcentral is "partial 16S ribosomal RNA". It matches the Rfam family "Bacterial small subunit ribosomal RNA", at positions 339 to 795 of the family's 1533-position model. The record is from RNAcentral.
CUACGGGACGCUGCAGUGGGGAAUAUUGCACAAUGGGCGCAAGCCUGAUGCAGCCAUGCCGCGUGUAUGAAGAAGGCCUUCGGGUUGUAAAGUACUUUCAGCGGGGAGGAAGGGAGUAAAGUUAAUACCUUUGCUCAUUGACGUUACCCGCAGAAGAAGCACCGGCUAACUCCGUGCCAGCAGCCGCGGUGGAAUACGGAGGGUGCAAGCGUUAAUCGGAAUUACUGGGCGUAAAGCGCACGCAGGCGGUUUGUUAAGUCAGAUGUGAAAUCCCCGGGCUCAACCUGGGAACUGCAUCUGAUACUGGCAAGCUUGAGUCUCGUAGAGGGGGGUAGAAUUCCAGGUGUAGCGGUGAAAUGCGUAGAGAUCUGGAGGAAUACCGGUGGCGAAGGCGGCCCCCUGGACGAAGACUGACGCUCAGGUGCGAAAGCGUGGGGAGCAAACAGGAUUAGAUACCCGCGUAGUC